RNAcentral lists this ribosomal RNA (149 nucleotides) under Solanum tuberosum (potato). RNAcentral's name for it is "rRNA 5_8S_rRNA". It matches the Rfam family "5.8S ribosomal RNA". Rfam says of the family: 5.8S ribosomal RNA (5.8S rRNA) is a component of the large subunit of the eukaryotic ribosome. It is transcribed by RNA polymerase I as part of the 45S precursor that also contains 18S and 28S rRNA. The record is from Rfam by way of RNAcentral. Lineage: Eukaryota; Viridiplantae; Streptophyta; Magnoliopsida; Solanales; Solanaceae.
GAAUCGCGGAAACGGAUAUCUCGGCUCUCGCAUCGAUGAAAAAUGUAGCAAAAUGCGAUACUUGGUGCAGAAUCAUGUGAACCACUAAGUGUUUGAUCGCAAGUUGUGCCCGAAACCAUCAGUCUGAGGGUACGUCUGCCUAGGUGUCA